Molecule: transfer RNA, 73 nt
Filed under: Chloroflexota bacterium
Lineage: Bacteria; Bacillati; Chloroflexota
Description: tRNA-Lys
Rfam family: tRNA
About the family: Transfer RNA (tRNA) molecules are approximately 80 nucleotides in length. Their secondary structure includes four short double-helical elements and three loops (D, anti-codon, and T loops).
Source: RNAcentral
GGGCGCGUAGCUCAAUUGGGAGAGCAGUGGACUCUUAAUCCAUCGGUUGCAGGUUCGAGUCCUGCCGCGCUCA